AUGAACGCUGGCGGCGUACCUAACGCAUGCAAGUCGAACGGGGNAAUUUGUAGCAAUACGAGUUCCUAGUGGCAAACGGGUGAGUAACACGUGGGUAUCUACCUCGAAGUGGGGAAUAACGAGUCGAAAGGUUCGCUAAUACCGCAUGAGUUCGAGAGAACAAAGGUGGAGUAAUCCAUCGCUUUGAGAGGGACCUGCGGUCGAUCAGAUAGUUGGUGAGGUAACGGCUCACCAAGUCCAUGACCGAUAGCUGAUCUGAGAGGAUGACCAGCCACACUGGCACUGUGACACGGGCCAGACUCCUACGGGAGGCAGCAGCGAGGAAUAUUGCACAAUGGGCGCAAGCCUGAUGCAGUAACGCUGCGUGGGGGACGAAGACCUUCGGGUUGUAAACCCCUUUUCAAUGAGACGAGUGAGGACGGUAUCAUUGGAAUCAGUCUCGGCUAACUACGUGCCAGCAGCCGCGGUAAGACGUAGGAGGCGAGCGUUAUCCGGAUUCACUGGGCGU
Molecule: ribosomal RNA, 508 nt
Filed under: uncultured bacterium
Lineage: Bacteria
Description: bacterial SSU rRNA
Rfam family: Bacterial small subunit ribosomal RNA
Source: RNAcentral